Molecule: ribosomal RNA, 1032 nt
Filed under: Microbacterium hydrocarbonoxydans
Lineage: Bacteria; Bacillati; Actinomycetota; Actinomycetes; Micrococcales; Microbacteriaceae
Description: bacterial SSU rRNA
Rfam family: Bacterial small subunit ribosomal RNA
Source: RNAcentral
GCAUUACCAUGCAGUCGAACGGUGAACACGAGAGCUUGCUCUGUGGGAUCAGUGGCGAACGGGUGAGUAACACGUGAGCAACCUGCCCCUGACUCUGGGAUAAGCGCUGGAAACGGCGUCUAAUACUGGAUACGAACCACGAAGGCAUCUUCAGUGGUUGGAAAGAAUUUCGGUUGGGGAUGGGCUCGCGGCCUAUCAGCUUGUUGGUGAGGUAAUGGCUCACCAAGGCGUCGACGGGUAGCCGGCCUGAGAGGGUGACCGGCCACACUGGGACUGAGACACGGCCCAGACUCCUACGGGAGGCAGCAGUGGGGAAUAUUGCACAAUGGGCGAAAGCCUGAUGCAGCAACGCCGCGUGAGGGAUGACGGCCUUCGGGUUGUAAACCUCUUUUAGCAGGGAAGAAGCGAAAGUGACGGUACCUGCAGAAAAAGCGCCGGCUAACUACGUGCCAGCAGCCGCGGUAAUACGUAGGGCGCAAGCGUUAUCCGGAAUUAUUGGGCGUAAAGAGCUCGUAGGCGGUUUGUCGCGUCUGCUGUGAAAUCCGGAGGCUCAACCUCCGGCCUGCAGUGGGUACGGGCAGACUAGAGUGCGGUAGGGGAGAUUGGAAUUCCUGGUGUAGCGGUGGAAUGCGCAGAUAUCAGGAGGAACACCGAUGGCGAAGGCAGAUCUCUGGGCCGUAACUGACGCUGAGGAGCGAAAGGGUGGGGAGCAAACAGGCUUAGAUACCCUGGUAGUCCACCCCGUAAACGUUGGGAACUAGUUGUGGGGUCCAUUCCACGGAUUCCGUGACGCAGCUAACGCAUUAAGUUCCCCGCCUGGGGAGUACGGCCGCAAGGCUAAAACUCAAAGGAAUUGACGGGGACCCGCACAAGCGGCGGAGCAUGCGGAUUAAUUCGAUGCAACGCGAAGAACCUUACCAAGGCUUGACAUAUACGAGAACGGGCCAGAAAUGGUCAACUCUUUGGACACUCGUAAACAGGUGGUGCAUGGUUGUCGUCAGCUCGUGUCGUGAGAUGUUGGGUUAGUCCCGC